GACGAACGCUGGCGGCGUGCUUAACACAUGCAAGUCGAACGGAAAGGCCCUGCUUUUGUGGGGUGCUCGAGUGGCGAACGGGUGAGUAACACGUGAGUAACCUGCCCUUGACUUUGGGAUAACUUCAGGAAACUGGGGCUAAUACCGGAUAGGAGCUCCUGCUGCAUGGUGGGGGUUGGAAAGUUUCGGCGGUUGGGGAUGGACUCGCGGCUUAUCAGCUUGUUGGUGGGGUAGUGGCUUACCAAGGCUUUGACGGGUAGCCGGCCUAGAGGGUGACCGGCCACAUUGGGACUGAGAUACGGCCCAGACUCCUACGGGAGGCAGCAGUGGGGAAUAUUGCACAAUGGGCGGAAGCCUGAUGCAGCAACGCCGCGUGCGGGAUGACGGCCUUCGGGUUGUAAACCGCUUUCGCCUGUGACGAAGCGUGAGUGACGGUAAUGGGUAAAGAAGCACCCGCUAACUACGUG
RNAcentral lists this ribosomal RNA (467 nucleotides) under uncultured bacterium. RNAcentral's name for it is "partial 16S ribosomal RNA". It matches the Rfam family "Bacterial small subunit ribosomal RNA", at positions 28 to 507 of the family's 1533-position model. The record is from RNAcentral.